AAAGGAACCCCAAGACAAUAGAGGAAGCAGCUGGUUUAGCUGAUAAAAUAAAUGAAAUCAGAGUCCAUGGAUUUGAUGGGCCAAAAUUUGGUGGGAGAUAUUGGGAAACAAACAAGAAUAAAUUUCAGCAAACCAAAGGAAAGAUUACCUCAGAAACCGAUAAGAGAAGCAGCCCCUCAUCAAAAAGCCCACAUGAGAAGGCACACACCCAUACAGAAUUUACUGAGGGAAAAGUCAAUAAAACAAGUUAUUCAGGACCCAAAGACAUUUCAUGCUGGAGAUGUGGAAAAUUAGGUCAUAAAAGGUUUGAUUGUAAACUAGGAAAAGAAACAUCUAGUUAUAGCACCACACAGAAACGGACAUAUUGUAUGCAGCCUGUGGAGCAGGGCCCAACUAGUCAGGUUGUCAAGGAAACAGACAUGCCAACUAGGCCCGAGCCUGCUGAGGUAGUAGAGGCCAAAGUCCCGCACUGUUUUGCGAUUCAACAAGAUAAUCUCUUGUUGAAGAACGCUGGAGAGUAUAUCUGGAUAGACGGAAAAAGAUCUCUCAGGUUAAAGGACACGGGAUCACAAGUCACUAUAGUCCACCCAGAGAUAAUCAAGGAUGAGGCCAUAAUUCCAGGAAAAGUAAUGAAAUUAAAAGGAAUUUUGAAACAAGCAGAGAUCCUGAAGGUGGCGGAAAUAGAUGUCAGGUUCAAAAUCUGGGCAGGGAAGUGGCAGGUAGCCCUUUCGGAAGAAAUUCCCGCCCCUGUGCUCAUUGGUUGGGACAUUUUAGAACAUGUGCAGAGUACUUUCAUAGUUACCAGAGCAAAAGGGAGCCCACAGUCACCUAAUCCUGAGGGGGUGGAUACAGUAGCAGAGGCAGACAAUGCUGAAGGACAGCAAGGGGAUGAUCAGUAUGAGGAAAGAAAAAACACCUUUUUGUUUCCUUUGACUGAAACUCAAACCCCAAGUUUUGCCAAAAAGCAAAAAGAAGAUAUUGAGUUACAAAGGUACUUUGAGGCAGCCGAGUCGGAGAGGCCAUUAACUCCAGAGUGCCCAGAACGGUUUUGUUUGAGCAGGGACCUUUUAUAUCGAGAAGUCCUUGUCCCACCAUGUGGGGGGGGGGGUGAAGAAGUGAGAAGACAGUUAGUAAUCCCACAUGAAUACCGAGGCAAAAUCCUGCAACACGCCCCCAAUAGUGUAUUUGGAGCGCAUAUGGGUAUUAUACGCACAAAACGGAGAGUGGCUCAAAAUUUUUAUUGGCCAGGCAUGGGGAAACAAAUAAAACAAUACUGUCAAGCCUGUGACAUAUGUCAGAGAAGAGGCAAAACAAAAGCCAAAUUGUGCCCCUUGCCUAUCAUAUCAACCCCUUUUCAACGAUUAGGGCUGGACCUGAUAGGGCCAUUGCCUAGAGCCAGCAGGCGGGGAAACAGAUACAUCCUCACCAUAGUGGAUUACGCAACCAAAUAUCCAGAAGCCAUUCCGUUGCAAAACAUUGAAACGGAAACUGUGGCAACUGCUUUAAUUAACUAUAUGAGUAGAUUGGGCUUUGCCAGUGAAAUAGUCACCGACUUGGGUUCUUCUUUCACAUCAAGACUAAUGAAAAGACUAUGGGAGGUGUGUGGUAUUAAGCAUUUAACAUCAACACCUUAGUGGUGUACGGGUCAAUAGUCAUUGAGACGACCGGGGGCUCCGUACGAAUGCCACACUUGGUUCUCCUGUGAGGGUAAAGGAGGAUCCUGAGAGAUCCAGUGCCACUGGGCAACCUUUAGCCCAGAGAUUUUUCCUUUGCUGUCCCUUUUCUUCAUGGGCGGUAAUCAACUGUCACCCGGAAGACCCAGCCAAGGGAGCAAAGGCAAGAUACGACUGGUCAACAGAGGAUCCCAGGAUCCACAGGAUGACGUGAGUAUGGUUAAAAGCAGUACACUGACAAGAAGGUUGAAGGUAGUGAGUCACUACAGCAACCAAAAUUAUUUCUUUCCUCUCCUUUACCUGACUCUACCCGACACUGGGGUUCUGUUUACAAACCUGAUUGCUCGGAAAGGGAGGCUUUGACCAAAGAGGGUUAUGGGGUGUUCAACCAGGGAGGGGUUCUGAACUCUAUCUCUGUUCAUUCUCUUACUCAGCUGCCCUGAAGUGGGAUGCUUCAGAUGCAAGGGAGUAAGUUUCUUCUUCAUCUUCCCUUUUUAUCUGAUCAAGUUUAGCUGCCCCUGCUGCUCAGCGAUCCCCUGUUGGGGAGAUACCCGGGUAUGUCAGAAAGCAAAGAAACUUGUUCCUUUACAAACAGCUAUCUUGCGUGACCUGAUCUGGCACUGAGCUGUGCAGGCAUUCAGUAAGGAGACUUUUCACUAGAUUAUGGUGCCAGGCAGGAGGUUGCUGUGGGUAGUAGGGUGGGAGGUCCACUGACAGAAGAUGGAGCACCACACCAGGAGUCAGUUAGGAUGGAAAACUGGUUAAUGAAUGAUGCUGGGUGAGUGGGAGGCUUUCAGUUGUGUUUGCGGGCAGGAAGCUUGUGGAAUUUGUGGGUGGGAAGCCCAUGGGAAUGCAGGUUGCUUAGAUAGGAAGGCGUGGGCAAGAGAUCUACAGAAGGAUACGGGCGAGAGGCCUGGAGAAAGCAAAUUGUUUAAUAGCAUUUUUUUCUUUUUAUUUGUUUGUUUGUUUGUGCAUGUUAUUGUGUGCAGAUGAGGCUAGAAGACACUCUAUUUAUGCUUCUUAAAUUGAUGGGUAGCCAUUCUUCCAGACAUAGCAGAUGGACUCCCCUUGGCAGGAAUUCUUCUGGCAAGCCUUCCCACAACCAAGAGGACCCUGAUUCCCUCCUCCAGCUUGUGUUAUCCAACUGGAGGGGAUUGACAGGAUGUGAAAACCUAUCAAAGUAAAAGCUGAAAUACCUCUGUGAGGGCCCAUGUGUGGCUUAUAUCCAUCACCUGGAACCCAGAACACAGUGUCCACCUCAGGGAUCCUUCAACGAAGUUAGGGUGCGAACCCUUAGAAAAUAUUUAGAAGAUCAAAAGCCUCGGCAACUAGACUACUUAGUCGUGUUUGCAGAAGGCCUUUAACACAGUGCAUGCAAGAGGAAAAUAAGUGUGAAACAGUUUGUACUAAAGUAUUAGGUAAAGUGGUUAUUACACGCAUUGGAGGGUUGCAGCAUGUAAGUUUAAAGUCACCUACAAUUUAACCAUUCCUAAUCCCUACCUAUAGUCCACCAUUCAUUCAGUUUAAAGAGUAAUCUCCACUGAGCAUUAUAGGGUUGAGAAUGCAUGCACCAGACUUCACUGUAUAUUUCCAGCUGGCCUUACUGCAUAGCCUUUUAGAAUCACAGAUUUGUAUAGUUGGAAAGGACUCCCAGGGUCAUCUAGUCCAACCCCCUGCAAUGCAGGAAUCUCAGAUAAAGUGUCCAUGUCAGAUGGCCAUCCAACAUCGGCUUAAAAAUCUCCAAUGAAGAAGAGUCCACAACCCUUACAAUGGACAGUGAACUAUAUUCUACAGAUAGCUGAAAAGAGGCCAACUUACACUUAUACAGUACUUAAGAAGGGACAAAUUUAGUAAAAAAAAUAUUGACUGAUUUUAUUAUUGAAUAAUGAUUAUAAGUUAUUUGCAAUCUUUUUGUCAUAAAGAUUUUUUUUAAUUACAAGACCUUAUGAAUGACAAAUGAUUUUUACCAAAAAGACCAUUAAGAGAUAAUGUCAGAAACGUAUAUUUGAAUUGUAACAGUGAGAAGCAUAUUAGAGGUUACAACCCACGCACUUCUGCUGCGCUUUUCUGCUUGUGUGGUGGCACCUCAGUAAAACCAUUUCUUACUGUUUGUAGCAGAGUUUUCCCCGGAGGCAGAGGAAAAGAACAAGAGUCAUACUCAAAUUCACAGUCAAGAACUUCUAUAUUGCUUGACUGGUUGCACAAGCAUUUCUAUUACUAUUAUAUACAAGCUGUUUACAUUCCUUCUUUAUCUCUCCAGCACGGUAUAAUCUCUGUCCAAUAAAUAACAAUCCUGACACAGCAAAACUCAUAGUAUCAGCAGCACACAUUGUAUUACUGCCAACCUUGUUAUGAGCAUGCAUGGUGACAGCAUGUGUGUGUGUGUGCUUUUGUCAUGCAGAAAUUGCAGCCUGCAACUUCCUCCCUUUAUUUGCACCUCCAGCUGACACCAA
RNAcentral lists this long non-coding RNA (4126 nucleotides) under Podarcis lilfordi (Lilford's wall lizard). Lineage: Eukaryota; Metazoa; Chordata; Lepidosauria; Squamata; Lacertidae. The record is from RNAcentral.